UCGGGGAUGGUCUAAUGGCAGGACAGGGGACUUUGGAUCCCUUAGUCGAGGUUCGAGUCCUCGUCCCCGAG
This 71-nucleotide transfer RNA is filed under the name Caldilineae bacterium. RNAcentral describes it as "tRNA-Gln". It matches the Rfam family "tRNA". From Rfam's summary of the family: Transfer RNA (tRNA) molecules are approximately 80 nucleotides in length. The record is from RNAcentral. Lineage: Bacteria; Bacillati; Chloroflexota; Caldilineae.